This 253-nucleotide ribosomal RNA is filed under the name uncultured bacterium. RNAcentral's name for it is "partial 16S ribosomal RNA". It matches the Rfam family "Bacterial small subunit ribosomal RNA", at positions 524 to 776 of the family's 1533-position model. The record is from RNAcentral.
UACGAAGGGUGCAAACGUUGCUCGGAAUUAUUGGGCGUAAAGCGCACGUAGGCGGCUUAGCAAGUCGGAUGUGAAAUCCCUCGGCUCAACCAAGGAAGUGCAUCCGAAACUGCUGAGCUUGAGUACGAAAGAGGAUCGCGGAAUUCCCGGUGUAGAGGUGAAAUUCGUAGAUAUCAGGAGGAGCACCGAUGGCGAAGGCAGGUCUCUGGGCAUUAACUGACGCUGAGGAGCGAAAGCAUGGGGAGCGAACAGG